CUUCACCAGGAAUCCUGGUGGUGACACUAUCAGGAACAGGCUCCACGACCUUGAGAGCCCCUCCCAGAACCAAAUUCACAAGACAGAUGUCAAUGGAAACCCCACACAGAGCCUGAGGAAAAGCAGCUCAGAGGGAUCCUGAGUGCAGUGCUUGGCUCUUUACCUCUCUGCUCCUGCGAGAUGUUUCUGCAGAAUGAGCAGCUGUCUCGCUCACACAACCCACUUGCAAAGAGCCCACAGGUUAAUGGCAGAUAAUUUCCAAGAGGCUACGCCUCAGGAACCCAACCCUUAAGGCUUUACCAGGUCCAAGAGACAGAGGGAGGACACGGGACCUUCAAACACUGUGAUCAAGACUCGGAUCUCCCACUCACCAGUGGCUCUGUCGCCAAGCAGAGGGGGAAGGACGGUUUGGAGAUUGUGCUACUGUAGCAGAGACCCCCAGCUUCUGACAGAGGCACAGAUCCCAAACUGCUACAGCACACAUCCUCUGAGCUCAGGACAAAAGCUCUGCUCCUGUUUCACUGCUGCAAGAUUCCACAUCCUCUCUCCUUUUUUCACUAUCAGCUUAUCCCAGGUUUAUAGGAAA
Long non-coding RNA from Ficedula albicollis (Collared flycatcher), 586 nucleotides. RefSeq lists it as uncharacterized. NCBI's taxonomy places the organism in Eukaryota, Metazoa, Chordata, Aves, Passeriformes, Muscicapidae. The record is from RefSeq and is a predicted model, not a curated record. The transcript has 3 exons.